RNAcentral lists this ribosomal RNA (428 nucleotides) under Streptococcus anginosus. RNAcentral's name for it is "bacterial SSU rRNA". It matches the Rfam family "Bacterial small subunit ribosomal RNA", at positions 29 to 434 of the family's 1533-position model. The record is from RNAcentral. Lineage: Bacteria; Bacillati; Bacillota; Bacilli; Lactobacillales; Streptococcaceae.
ACGAACGCUGGCGGCGUGCCUAAUACAUGCAAGUAGGACGCACAGUUUAUACCGUAGCUUGCUACACCAUAGACUGUGAGUUGCGAACGGGUGAGUAACGCGUAGGUAACCUGCCUAUUAGAGGGGGAUAACUAUUGGAAACGAUAGCUAAUACCGCAUAACAGUAUGUAACACAUGUUAGAUGCUUGAAAGAUGCAAUUGCAUCGCUAGUAGAUGGACCUGCGUUGUAUUAGCUAGUAGGUAGGGUAAUGGCCUACCUAGGCGACGAUACAUAGCCGACCUGAGAGGGUGAUCGGCCACACUGGGACUGAGACACGGCCCAGACUCCUACGGGAGGCAGCAGUAGGGAAUCUUCGGCAAUGGGGGGAACCCCUGACCGAGCAAACGCCGCGUGAGUGAAAGAAAGGUUUUCGGAUCGUAAAAGCUCU